GUAACAUUUUUCUCCAAUUUUUUUUUCUCCACAACAUCAUACCUUGAAAGCAAUGAGACUGGAAGGCUACAUUAUUAUACCCGAUUUUCAGAUUUUUAAUUUCUUCUA
Molecule: long non-coding RNA, 108 nt
Organism: Octopus sinensis (East Asian common octopus)
Lineage: Eukaryota; Metazoa; Mollusca; Cephalopoda; Octopoda; Octopodidae
Exons: 3
Source: RefSeq, a predicted model, not a curated record